CCCUUAGAUGUUCUGGGCAGCACGCGCGCUACAAUGGUCUUCGCAAACGGAUGCAUUCUCGAAGGAGAAUGCCAAUCUUGGAAUCUAUGCCUUGGUCGGGACAGUUGCUUGCAAUUUUUCGACUCGAACCAGGAAUUCCUUGUAAUCGUGAUUCGCCACAUCACGAUGAAUACGUCCCUGCCCUUUGUACACACCGCCCGUCGCUCCUACCGAUCGAAGAGUUAGGUGAAUUGUUUUGAUCGAUAAGAUUUGACUAUGGUCAACUCUCGUUGUGAAAUUCUGUGAAUCUGACUGUUUAGAGGAAGGAAAAGUCGUAACA
This 319-nucleotide ribosomal RNA is filed under the name uncultured eukaryote. RNAcentral's name for it is "partial 18S ribosomal RNA". It matches the Rfam family "Eukaryotic small subunit ribosomal RNA", at positions 1470 to 1796 of the family's 1831-position model. The record is from RNAcentral.